AUUGAACGCUGGCGGCAUGCUUUACACAUGCAAGUCGAACGGUAACAGGUUAAGCUGACGAGUGGCGAACGGGUGAGUAAUGCAUCGGAACGUGCCCGGUCGUGGGGGAUAACGCAGCGAAAGCUGCGCUAAUACCGCAUACGAUCUAAGGAUGAAAGCGGGGGACCGUAAGGCCUCGCGCGAUCGGAGCGGCCGAUGUCAGAUUAGGGAGUUGGUGGGGUAAAGGCUCACCAAGCCAACGAUCUGUAGCUGGUUUGAGAGGACGACCAGCCACACUGGGACUGAGACACGGCCCAGACUCCUACGGGAGGCAGCAGUGGGGAAUUUUGGACAAUGGGCGAAAGCCUGAUCCAGCAAUGCCGCGUGCAGGAAGAAGGCCUUCGGGUUGUAAACUGCUUUUGUACGGAGCGAAAAGGUCUCCUCUAAUACAGGGGGCUCAUGACGGUACCGUAAGAAUAAGCACCGGCUAACUACGUGCCAGCCGCCGCCGUAA
Molecule: ribosomal RNA, 493 nt
Filed under: uncultured bacterium
Lineage: Bacteria
Description: partial 16S ribosomal RNA
Rfam family: Bacterial small subunit ribosomal RNA
Source: RNAcentral